Molecule: non-coding RNA, 21 nt
Organism: Caenorhabditis elegans
Lineage: Eukaryota; Metazoa; Nematoda; Chromadorea; Rhabditida; Rhabditidae
Source: Ensembl
UGAGAAGGUUUUUCGGAGAAU